This 1341-nucleotide ribosomal RNA is filed under the name uncultured bacterium. RNAcentral describes it as "16S ribosomal RNA". It matches the Rfam family "Bacterial small subunit ribosomal RNA", at positions 28 to 1381 of the family's 1533-position model. The record is from RNAcentral.
GACGAACGCUGGCGGCGUGCUUAACACAUGCAAGUCGAACGGUAAGGCUCCAGCUUGCUGGGGUACACGAGUGGCGAACGGGUGAGUAACACGUGGGUGACCUGCCCUGCACUUCGGGAUGAGCCUGGGAAACUGGGUCUAAUACCGGAUAGGACCGCACCGUGAGGGUGUGGUGGAAAGUUUUUUCGGUGUGGGAUGGGCCCGCGGCCUAUCAGCUUGUUGGUGGGGUAAUGGCCUACCAAGGCGGCGACGGGUAGCCGGCCUGAGAGGGUGGACGGCCACAUUGGGACUGAGACACGGCCCAGACUCCUACGGGAGGCAGCAGUGGGGAAUAUUGCACAAUGGGCGGAAGCCUGAUGCAGCGACGCCGCGUAGGGGAUGACGGCCUUCGGGUUGUAAACUCCUUUCACCAUCGACGAAGGGUUUCUGACGGUAGAUGGAGAAGAAGCACCGGCUAACUACGUGCCAGCAGCCGCGGUAAUACGUAGGGUGCGAGAGUUGUCCGGAAUUACUGGGCGUAAAGAGCUCGUAGGUGGUUUGUCGCGUCGUCUGUGAAAUUCCGGGGCUUAACUCCGGGCGUGCAGGCGAUACGGGCAUAACUUGAGUACUGUAGGGGAGACUGGAAUUCCUGGUGUAGCGGUGAAAUGCGCAGAUAUCAGGAGGAACACCGGUGGCGAAGGCGGGUCUCUGGGCAGUAACUGACGCUGAGGAGCGAAAGCAUGGGGAGCGAACAGGAUUAGAUACCCUGGUAGUCCAUGCCGUAAACGGUGGGCGCUAGGUGUGGGUUUCCUUCCACGGGAUCUGUGCCGUAGCUAACGCAUUAAGCGCCCCGCCUGGGGAGUACGGCCGCAAGGCUAAAACUCAAAGGAAUUGACGGGGGCCCGCACAAGCGGCGGAGCAUGUGGAUUAAUUCGAUGCAACGCGAAGAACCUUACCUGGGCUUGACAUAUACAGGAUCGCGCCAGAGAUGGUGUUUCCCUUGUGGCUUGUAUACAGGUGGUGCAUGGUUGUCGUCAGCUCGUGUCGUGAGAUGUUGGGUUAAGUCCCGCAGCGAGCGCAACCCUUGUCUUAUGUUGCCAGCACGUUGUGGUGGGGACUCGUAAGAAACUGCCGGGGUUAACUCGGAGGAAGGUGGGGAUGACGUCAAAUCAUCAUGCCCCUUAUGUCCAGGGCUUCACACAUGCUACAAUGGUCGGUACAGUGGGUUGCCAGUCCGUGAGGGCGAGCUAAUCCCGCAAAGCCGGUCUCAGUUCGGAUCGGGGUCUGCAACUCGACCCCGUGAAGUCGGAGUCGCUAGUAAUCGCAGAUCAGCAACGCUGCGGUGAAUACGUUCCCGGGCCU